This 76-nucleotide transfer RNA is filed under the name Desulfallas thermosapovorans DSM 6562. RNAcentral describes it as "tRNA-Thr". It matches the Rfam family "tRNA". From Rfam's summary of the family: Transfer RNA (tRNA) molecules are approximately 80 nucleotides in length. Their secondary structure includes four short double-helical elements and three loops (D, anti-codon, and T loops). The record is from RNAcentral. Lineage: Bacteria; Bacillati; Bacillota; Clostridia; Eubacteriales; Desulfallaceae.
GCCGCUAUAGCUCAGGAGGUAGAGCGCAUCCUUGGUAAGGAUGAGGUCACCGGUUCAAACCCGGUUAGCGGCUCCA